GACGAACGCUGGCGGCGUGCUUAAUACAUGCAAGUCGAACGGAAAGGCCCUGCUUUUGUGGGGUGCUCGAGUGGCGAACGGGUGAGUAACACGUGAGUAACCUGCCCUUGACUUUGGGAUAACUUCAGGAAACUGGGGCUAAUACCGGAUAGGAGCUCCUGCUGCAUGGUGGGGGUUGGAAAGUUUCGGCGGUUGGGGAUGGACUCGCGGCUUAUCAGCUUGUUGGUGGGGUAGUGGCUUACCAAGGCUUUGACGGGUAGCCGGCCUGAGAGGGUGACCGGCCACAUUGGGACUGAGAUACGGCCCAGACUCCUACGGGAGGCAGCAGUGGGGAAUAUUGCACAAUGGGCGGAAGCCUGAUGCAGCAACGCCGCGUGCGGGAUGACGGCCUUCGGGUUGUAAACCGCUUUCGCCUGUGACGAAGCGUGAGUGACGGUAAUGGGUAAAGAAGCACCGGCUAACUACGUGCCAGCAGCCGCGGUGAUACGUAGGGUGCGAGCGUUGUCCGGAUUUAUUGGGCGUAAAGGGCUCGUAGGUGGUUGAUCGCGUCGGAAGUGUAAUCUCGGGGCUUAACCCUGAGCGUGCUUUCGAUACGGGUUGACUUGAGGAAGGUAGGGGAGAAUGGAAUUCCUGGUGGAGCGGUGGAAUGCGCAGAUAUCAGGAGGAACACCAGUGGCGAAGGCGGUUCUCUGGGCCUUUCCUGACGCUGAGGAGCGAAAGCGUGGGGAGCGAACAGGCUUAGAUACCCUGGUAGUCCACGCUGUAAACGGUGGGUACUAGGUGUGGGGUCCAUUCCACGGGUUCCGUGCCGUAGCUAACGCUUUAAGUACCCCGCCUGGGGAGUACGGCCGCAAGGCUAAAACUCAAAGGAAUUGACGGGGCCCCGCACAAGCGGCGGAGCAUGCGGAUUAAUUCGAUGCAACGCGUAGAACCUUACCUGGGUUUGACAUGGAUCGGGAGUGCUCAGAGAUGGGUGUGCCUCUUUUGGGGUCGGUUCACAGGUGGUGCAUGCCUGUCGUCAGCUCGUGUCGUGAGAUGUUGGGUUAAGUCCCGCAACGAGCGCAACCCUUGUUCACUGUUGCCAGCACGUUAUGGUGGGGACUCAGUGGAGACCGCCGGGGUCAACUCGGAGGAAGGUGGGGAUGACGUCAAGUCAUCAUGCCCCUUAUGUCCAGGGCUUCACGCAUGCUACAAUGGCUGGUACAGAGAGUGGCGAGCCUGUGAGGGUGAGCGAAUCUCGGAAAGCCGGUCUCAGUUCGGAUUGGGGUCUGCAACUCGACCUCAUGAAGUCGGAGUCGCUAGUAAUCGCAGAUCAGCAACGCUGCGGUGAAUACGUUCCCGGGGCU
This 1346-nucleotide ribosomal RNA is filed under the name uncultured bacterium. RNAcentral describes it as "partial 16S ribosomal RNA". It matches the Rfam family "Bacterial small subunit ribosomal RNA", at positions 28 to 1381 of the family's 1533-position model. The record is from RNAcentral.